UGGGGAAUAUUGGACAAUGGGCGAAAGCCUGAUCCAGCCAUGCCGCGUGUGUGAAGAAGGUCUUCGGAUUGUAAAGCACUUUAAGUUGGGAGGAAGGGCAUUAACCUAAUACGUUAGUGUUUUGACGUUACCGACAGAAUAAGCACCGGCUAACUCUGUGCCAGCAGCCGCGGUAAUACAGAGGGUGCAAGCGUUAAUCGGAAUUACUGGGCGUAAAGCGCGCGUAGGUGGUUUGUUAAGUUGGAGGUGAAAUCCCCGGGCUCAACCUGGGAACUGCAUUCAAAACUGACUGACUAGAGUAUGGUAGAGGGUGGUGGAAUUUCCUGUGUAGCGGUGAAAUGCGUAGAUAUAGGAAGGAACACCAGUGGCGAAGGCGACCACCUGGACUAAUACUGACACUGAGGUGCGAAAGCGUGGGGAGCAAAUA
This 427-nucleotide ribosomal RNA is filed under the name uncultured bacterium. RNAcentral's name for it is "partial 16S ribosomal RNA". It matches the Rfam family "Bacterial small subunit ribosomal RNA", at positions 355 to 774 of the family's 1533-position model. The record is from RNAcentral.